GUUUGAUCCUGGCUCAGAUUGAACGCUGGCGGCAUGCUUUACACAUGCAAGUCGAACGGCAGCGCGGGGCAACCUGGCGGCGAGUGGCGAACGGGUGAGUAAUAUAUCGGAACGUACCCAAGAGUGGGGGAUAACGUAGCGAAAGUUACGCUAAUACCGCAUACGAUCUAAGGAUGAAAGCAGGGGAUCUUCGGACCUUGUGCUCCUGGAGCGGCCGAUAUCUGAUUAGCUAGUUGGUGAGGUAAAGGCUCACCAAGGCCACGAUCAGUAGCUGGUCUGAGAGGACGACCAGCCACACUGGAACUGAGACACGGUCCAGACUCCUACGGGAGGCAGCAGUGGGGAAUUUUGGACAAUGGGCGAAAGCCUGAUCCAGCAAUGCCGCGUGAGUGAAGAAGGCCUUCGGGUUGUAAAGCUCUUUUGUCAGGGAAGAAACGGUGGAGGCUAAUAUCCUUCGCUAAUGACGGUACCUGAAGAAUAAGCACCGGCUAACUACGUGCCAGCAGCCGCGGUAAUACGUAGGGUGCAAGCGUUAAUCGGAAUUACUGGGCGUAAAGCGUGCGCAGGCGGUUUUGUAAGUCUGACGUGAAAUCCCCGGGCUCAACCUGGGAAUUGCGUUGGAGACUGCAAGGCUAGAAUCUGGCAGAGGGGGGUAGAAUUCCACGUGUAGCAGUGAAAUGCGUAGAGAUGUGGAGGAACACCGAUGGCGAAGGCAGCCCCCUGGGUCAAGAUUGACGCUCAUGCACGAAAGCGUGGGGAGCAAACAGGAUUAGAUACCCUGGUAGUCCACGCCCUAAACGAUGUCUACUAGUUGUCGGGUUUUAAUUAACUUGGUAACGCAGCUAACGCGUUAAGUAGACCGCCUGGGGAGUACGGUCGCAAGA
RNAcentral lists this ribosomal RNA (884 nucleotides) under uncultured bacterium. Its description in RNAcentral is "bacterial SSU rRNA". It matches the Rfam family "Bacterial small subunit ribosomal RNA", at positions 11 to 893 of the family's 1533-position model. The record is from RNAcentral.